GACGAACCGUGCGAACGUUGUUCGGAAUCACUGGGCUUAAAGGGCGCGUAGGCGGCCCCCCCAAGUCAAGGGUGAAAUCUUUCGGCUUAACCGGAAAAGUGCCUUUGAUACUGGGGGGCUCGAGGGAGGUAGGGGCGGACGGAACUUCCGGUGGAGCGGUGAAAUGCGUUGAUAUCGGAAGGAACGCCGGUGGCGAAAGCGGUCCGCUGGCCCUCUA
RNAcentral lists this ribosomal RNA (217 nucleotides) under uncultured bacterium. RNAcentral describes it as "partial 16S ribosomal RNA". It matches the Rfam family "Bacterial small subunit ribosomal RNA", at positions 524 to 739 of the family's 1533-position model. The record is from RNAcentral.